GGCUGUGAGGGUGAUCUGACUGUGACAUCUGCCACCCCAUUGAUCGCCAGGGUUGAUUUGGCUGAUCUUACUGGUUAGGCAAGUCUCCCCUUCCUCCCUCACCCCUCCAUGCGUGUCCCUCCUGAAACUGAGUGCUCAAUUGAAGAGGACACCCAUCCCCGCUAGAGAAGAACCAUUCGCUUCCCCCUACCAGAAUCUCCAGAAACAGCUCGAGGUUCAGACACUCUGUGGGAAGGCUGGAGAACGAACACAGCACCUCUGAAAAUGUGGAGACCGCCACACAGCUGGGCCAUAGGGCUGUGUCUUGAAUUU
This 312-nucleotide small RNA is filed under the name Carlito syrichta (Philippine tarsier). Its description in RNAcentral is "7SK RNA (ENSTSYG00000036407.1)". The stretch from base 1 to 183 matches the Rfam family "7SK RNA". From Rfam's summary of the family: 7SK was discovered as an abundant small nuclear RNA in the mid-70s but a possible function has only recently been suggested. Two independent studies have found that 7SK RNA binds the CDK9/cyclin T complex (known as elongation factor P-TEFb). Lineage: Eukaryota; Metazoa; Chordata; Mammalia; Primates; Tarsiidae. The record is from RNAcentral.